UUUAAGGNGGGGNCAGGCGCACCAAUUACUCUAUGCCCCGCUGCGAAUUAGUGAUAAAAAGAGGACUGGUUAGCGCUUUGCUUCUUCUUUGUCCUCUGAGAGCAAUGUAAUACCCUCAUCACGGAUCCAUUGGAGGGCAAGUCUGGUGCCAGCAGCCGCGGCUCUCCAGCUCCAAUUUCAUACACUAAAGUUGUUGCAGUCAAAAAUCUCGUACUCAAAUGUAUGGGAGUUGCGGGGUGGAUGUUUGGUUGGUUUUGCCGACUUGACAAUACUCGCCCCGCCUCCCGUUUGUUCCGCUGUUUUUUAAAGAGGGAUCUGUAAAGGUUGUUCAAAC
RNAcentral lists this ribosomal RNA (334 nucleotides) under Thraustochytriidae sp. ANACC TC_007. RNAcentral's name for it is "bacterial SSU rRNA". It matches the Rfam family "Eukaryotic small subunit ribosomal RNA", at positions 415 to 766 of the family's 1831-position model. The record is from RNAcentral. Lineage: Eukaryota; Bigyra; Thraustochytrida; Thraustochytriidae.